UGGCGGCGUGCCUAACACAUGCAAGUCGAACGCUCUCUCCGCGAGGGAGGGAGUGGCGGACGGGUGAGGAACACGUGGGUAACCUGCCCUGCAGUGGGGGAUACCGGUGCGAAAGCGCCGACAAUCCCGCAUGAGGUGGGGUCUUGGGAGGAGACUCCAGGAAAGCCCGAGGCUGGAGGGCCUGGGGCGCUGCAGGAGGGGCCUGCGCCCGAUUAGCUGGUUGGUAGGGUAACGGCCUACCAAGGCGACGAUCGGUAGCUGGUCUGAGAGGACGGCCAGCCACACUGGGAUUGAGAGACGGCCCAGACUCCUACGGGGGGCAGCAGUGAGGGAUCUUCGGCAAUGGGCGAAAGCCUGACCGAGCGACGCCGCGUGCAGGAAGAAGGCCUUCGGGUUGUAAACUGCUUUUCUGGGGGAAGAGGGAGGACGGUACCCCAGGAAGAAGCCCCGGCAAACUACGUGCCAGCAGCCGCGGUAAGACGUAGGGGGCGAGCGUUGUCCGGAGUUACUGGGCGUAAAGGGCCUGUAGGCGGUCUGGCAGGUUCCCGCUGACAGCCCGCGGCUUCACUGCGGGAGAGGCGGGAAGACGGCUGGACUUGAG
RNAcentral lists this ribosomal RNA (601 nucleotides) under uncultured yard-trimming-compost bacterium. RNAcentral describes it as "bacterial SSU rRNA". It matches the Rfam family "Bacterial small subunit ribosomal RNA", at positions 37 to 646 of the family's 1533-position model. The record is from RNAcentral.